GAAGCAAGCCAGACCGCCGCUGGUGCGAGCGUGGAAACACGGCAUUGGAGGAAGGUCCGGACUGCGCAGGGCGGCGUAGCAGCUAACGGCUGUCCACCGUGAGGUGAGGAUCAGAGCAACAGAGACGAGCCGAUUCAGUUCGGGUGAAACGGGCAAUCUCUACGGGCAGCAACACCAAAUAGGCCGGCAUGGAUGCGGCUCGCGGAGCCGGCGGGUAGGUGGCACCGAGCCGGGGGGUGACUCCCGGCCCAGAGGAAUGGCGGUCACGGCACGGCGCCGCAAGGCGCCGUGCUGCACAGAAUCCGGCCUAUCGGCCUGCUUCACAC
This 326-nucleotide RNase P RNA is filed under the name Rubrivivax sp. RNAcentral's name for it is "RNase P RNA component class A". It matches the Rfam family "Bacterial RNase P class A". From Rfam's summary of the family: Ribonuclease P (RNase P) is a ubiquitous endoribonuclease, found in archaea, bacteria and eukarya as well as chloroplasts and mitochondria. The record is from RNAcentral. Lineage: Bacteria; Pseudomonadati; Pseudomonadota; Betaproteobacteria; Burkholderiales; Sphaerotilaceae.